CCCAUCUCCUCCCUCAAUCACCUCCGCCGCUACUCCACCCUCUAUCAUGGCACACGAGAGGCCCACCAUAUAGGUCCCAAUGACGGACUCCUGGGCUGCAGCCUCCUCUCUAGUAUUUUUGUUUUUUUGUUGAUGUGUUGUACACCUUCCAAAUAUUGAGGACUUAAUGAGAUGCAUUUGUAACUUUAUCAUUAAAGAUAAUUUAAGA
RNAcentral lists this long non-coding RNA (208 nucleotides) under Elaeis guineensis (African oil palm). RNAcentral describes it as "long non-coding RNA (EGUI_LNC002039)". The record is from RNAcentral. Lineage: Eukaryota; Viridiplantae; Streptophyta; Magnoliopsida; Arecales; Arecaceae.